This 254-nucleotide ribosomal RNA is filed under the name uncultured Stenotrophomonas sp. Its description in RNAcentral is "partial 16S ribosomal RNA". It matches the Rfam family "Bacterial small subunit ribosomal RNA", at positions 97 to 354 of the family's 1533-position model. The record is from RNAcentral. Lineage: Bacteria; Pseudomonadati; Pseudomonadota; Gammaproteobacteria; Lysobacterales; Lysobacteraceae.
GGCGGACGGGUGAGGAAUACAUCGGAAUCUACUCUGUCGUGGGGGAGUAACGUAGGGAAACUUACGCUAAUACCGCAUACGACCUACGGUGAAGCAGGGAUCUUCGGACCUUGCGCGAUUGAAUGAGCCGAUGUCGGAUUAGCUAGUUGGCGGGGUAAAGGCCCACCAAGGCGACGAUCCGUAGCUGGUCUGAGAGGAUGAUCAGUCACACUGGAACUGAGACACGGUCCAGACUCCUACGGGAGGCAGCAGGU